Syngnathoides biaculeatus (alligator pipefish) is the source of this 1489-nucleotide long non-coding RNA. RefSeq lists it as uncharacterized. The transcript has 5 exons. The record is from RefSeq and is a predicted model, not a curated record. NCBI's taxonomy places the organism in Eukaryota, Metazoa, Chordata, Actinopteri, Syngnathiformes, Syngnathidae.
GGAGACAGAUCUCCAGAGUCAUCGCUGAAGAAAUCGUUUGGGAUUAUCAGACACAACACUUUUCUUUUCUUUGGAGAAGACGAAGACUGGAUUUAAACCCCUGGAGCAGCUUUGCCAUUCAAGGCAUACUUGGAAAUGUAAAAAUCUGGAUCUAUUUUGGAGAUUAAACGCUCCCCGGGAUGGGAGAGCAUCUGCAUUUGGAACCAAUAUUGUAGUGGGUCGUACGCAGCGUCGAGGCUUUGAAUCGUCGUGUCAACGUCGUGUGGCACUGACUGCUCUGGAAGAUGGGCCUGUGGGAGUGAUGAGGUCUGGGGGAUCACGACCUUAAUUUUCUCCAAGACAGGCGCUUAAUUAACACUGGAGGAAGCCUGGCUGGCUUCAGACCGACAAAUGGAAUGUUCAAGGGAAUGAAGGCUGCCUUCUCUGCAGUCCACAUUGUGAGAAGACCACCUCACAGGGAUUUUCUCCUUCACCAGGUACAGGAAAACCUCAUUACCCAGGUGUUCACCCCAACCACAGGAAAUACUUGUCAGUGACGACUGUCUGCUGGCAAACAUCGCCUGAGGGAGCAAAAGACAGGAAGGGAAGACAAGGGGCAUAUAGUCAAAGGGAGCAGAACAUCUAGAUGGCGGUAGAUACCGCCCUCAUGUUUUUUAGUUUCUGUGUCACAGACCGAAACCUUUGCCUGUGUGAGCCGGCAAGGUCACUGGGUUCCUCCACUCCUUCAGCAGUGGAGGGACUGAGGGAGAAGAGCAGAGAGGGAGGAGACAUACAAGCUGUUGACAGGAAUUUAUGAGCUGAAGAGUGUCGGACUGGGAGCGCAACAACUUCUCCGUACGAGAAGCCUGUCUGUUCGUACAGCGCCAGAGAGAUACUGACAAAAAAGUGGUGAGGGUGACCGGGCAUAGUCGACAGAGAUUGAGUCAGCAAAAUAAAGUAUAAAACAAAACGAGGUUCCUAAUACGGUACAUUAGUACCUUGACAUACGAGUUUUUCAGGAUAUGAGCCGUCAUUCGGACAAUUGUUUUUGCUUCAAUUGUGAGCUCAAACCUGAGCUGUGAGUGCUGUAUGGUGGUCUUUAUUUUAAUUGUCUUACUGUGAAACCAAAGACACAAUUAAGAAUUACAUGUUGUGUUUUUAAAACAACCAAACAAUUUGGCCUGAAGAAUGCCCUACUAGCUUGAUGCUACAACCUAAUGAAAAAAAGAAAUCCAAACGCUAACAGUUAGCAUCAACAUUUGCUGUUUUCCAAUCCUUUAAGCAACAGAUAUUUCAAAACAAAUGACGUGACAACACAUGAAAAGGUAACAUUACAUUUCCAAAAGCCACAUAUUCUUUAUCCUCCUUGGAAAAUGACCAAUACUACAGAAACAUACUGAUUUGAAGUAGAAUAAGUCUACUCACUGACUGUGUUAUACAAUAGCGCCUUCUGGUGGCCAAGGUUGGCACACCAGAAGGCUAAAUUGGAUUGCAGCAAUCAGUCACGAUA